UACGUAGGGGGCAAGCGUUGUCCGGAUUUACUGGGCGUAAAGAGCGUGUAGGCGGCCAGGCAGGUCUGUUAUGAAAACUGGAGGCUCAACUUCCAGACGUCGACAGAAACCGCUUGGCUAGAGUCCGGAAGAGGAGAGUGGAAUUCCUGGUGUAGCGGUGAAAUGCGCAGAUAUCAGGAAGAACACCGAUGGCGAAGGCGGGUCUCUGGGCCGAAAUUGACGCUGAGGAGCGAAAGCGUGGGGAGCAAACAGG
This 253-nucleotide ribosomal RNA is filed under the name uncultured bacterium. RNAcentral describes it as "partial 16S ribosomal RNA". It matches the Rfam family "Bacterial small subunit ribosomal RNA", at positions 524 to 776 of the family's 1533-position model. The record is from RNAcentral.